Molecule: ribosomal RNA, 262 nt
Filed under: uncultured prokaryote
Description: partial 16S ribosomal RNA
Rfam family: Bacterial small subunit ribosomal RNA
Source: RNAcentral
GGACCCGCACAAGCGGUGGAGCAUGUGGUUUAAUUCGAAGCAACGCGAAGAACCUUACCAAAUCUUGACAUCCUUUGACAACUCUAGAGAUAGAGCCUUCCCCUUCGGGGGACAAAGUGACAGGUGGUGCAUGGUUGUCGUCAGCUCGUGUCGUGAGAUGUUGGGUUAAGUCCCGCAACGAGCGCAACCCUUAAGCUUAGUUGCCAGCAUUAAGUUGGGCACUCUAAGUUGACUGCCGGUGACAAACCGGAGGAAGGUGGGG